RNAcentral lists this ribosomal RNA (538 nucleotides) under uncultured Clostridia bacterium. RNAcentral's name for it is "bacterial SSU rRNA". It matches the Rfam family "Bacterial small subunit ribosomal RNA", at positions 259 to 791 of the family's 1533-position model. The record is from RNAcentral. Lineage: Bacteria; Bacillati; Bacillota; Clostridia.
AACGGCUCACCAAGGCGACGAUGGGUAGCCGGCCUGAGAGGGUGAACGGCCACACUGGGACUGAGACACGGCCCAGACUCCUACGGGAGGCAGCAGUGGGGAAUAUUGCGCAAUGGGGGGAACCCUGACGCAGCAACGCCGCGUGAACGAAGAAGGCCUUCGGGUCGUAAAGUUCUGUCAAGUGGGACGAAGACUGGAUGGCGAACAGCGAUCCAGGUGACGGUACCUAAAGAGGAAGCUCCGGCUAACUACGUGCCAGCAGCCGCGGUAAUACGUAGGGAGCAAGCGUUGUCCGGAAUUACUGGGCGUAAAGGGCGCGCAGGCGGCCAUGUAAGUCAGAUGUGAAAACCCGGGGCUCAACCCCGGCCUGGCAUUUGAAACUGGAUGCUUGAGGAUGAGAGAGGAAAGUGGAAUUCCUAGUGUAGCGGUGAAAUGCGUAGAUAUUAGGAGGAACACCAGUGGCGAAGGCGACUUUCUGGCUCAUACCUGACGCUGAGGCGCGAAAGCGUGGGUAGCAAACAGGAUUAGAUACCCUGGU